GACGAACGCUGGCGGCGUGCUUAACACAUGCAAGUCGAACGGUGAAGCGCCUUCCUUUUUGGUGGGUGUGGAUGAGUGGCGAACGGGUGAGUAACACGUGAGUAACCUGCCCCCUUCUUCUGGAUAACCGCAUGAAAGUGUGGCUAAUACGGGAUAUUCUGGGUCUGUCGCAUGAUGGGUCUGGGAAAGAUAUUGUUUCGGUGGGGGAUGGGCUCGCGGCCUAUCAGCUUGUUGGUGGGGUGAUGGCCUACCAAGGCGGUGACGGGUAGCCGGCCUGAGAGGGUGGACGGUCACACUGGGACUGAGACACGGCCCAGACUCCUACGGGAGGCACCAGUGGGGAAUAUUGCACAAUGGGCGCAAGCCUGAUGCAGCGACGCCGCGUGAGGGAUGGAGGCCUUCGGGUUGUGAACCUCUUUCGCCAGUGAAGCAGGCCUGCCUCGUUUGUGGGUGGGUUGACGGUAGCUGGAGAAGAAGCGCCGGCUAACUACGUG
This 494-nucleotide ribosomal RNA is filed under the name uncultured bacterium. RNAcentral describes it as "partial 16S ribosomal RNA". It matches the Rfam family "Bacterial small subunit ribosomal RNA", at positions 28 to 507 of the family's 1533-position model. The record is from RNAcentral.